This 497-nucleotide ribosomal RNA is filed under the name uncultured bacterium. RNAcentral describes it as "partial 16S ribosomal RNA". It matches the Rfam family "Bacterial small subunit ribosomal RNA", at positions 28 to 507 of the family's 1533-position model. The record is from RNAcentral.
GAUGAACGCUGGCGGCGUGCCUAAUACAUGCAAGUCGAGCGAACAGACGAGGAGCUUGCUCCUUCGACGUUAGCGGCGGACGGGUGAGUAACACGUAGGUAACCUUCCUAUAAGACUGGGAUAACUUCGGGAAACCGGAGCUAAUACCGGAUAAUAUUUCGAACCGCAUGGUUCGAUAGUGAAAGAUGGCUUUGCUAUCACUUAUAGAUGGACCUGCGCCGUAUUAGCUAGUUGGUAAGGUAACGGCUUACCAAGGCAACGAUACGUAGCCGACCUGAGAGGGUGAUCGGCCACACUGGAACUGAGACACGGUCCAGACUCCUACGGGAGGCAGCAGUAGGGAAUCUUCCGCAAUGGGCGAAAGCCUGACGGAGCAACGCCGCGUGAGUGAUGAAGGUCUUCGGAUCGUAAAACUCUGUUAUUAGGGAAGAACAAACGUGUAAGUAACUGUGCACGUCUUGACGGUACCUAAUCAGAAAGCCACGGCUAACUACGUG